ACCUGAAUCAGAAUCAAAAUCAGAAAAUCAGAAUCAGAAUCAUAUGCAUCGUAACCUUCGCGGAAUCUCUGUUUCUCUUUUGUGUUUUGCACUGCAAUGCACCAGCGUGAUCCACUGCGGCUUCAUUUAUAUAGCGUCUCGUUGGUGGAUCAUUGUUCUUCAGUGUGUUGAAGAGAUCUAGAUCGCUGCGGUAAUGGCGGGAAAUGGUUGGGCGAACAGUUACUAGGAGGCGAUACUAGACGUUGGGCCUGCACUCGAUGAUGCUAAAGCGUCGCUUCUGCUGAGGUAUAGAGGACACAUCAGUCCUCGUUGAGGAGGUCAUCGCUUGCUUCGAUGAAAUCGAUCUCUAUUGCUCUUGGGAUCGAUGAUUUAGGCUGCGGCUACGAGGAGGCCGCAGGGGAGGAACACGAGGCUGGAGAACAUGUAUCGGAGGAUUUUGGCGCGAACGAAGAAGCAGCUUUCCACAGUUAAAGAGAUACUGAAAUUGAUGAGAAUCCAGUCUCUUAGAUGUCAUGCUUUAUAUUGUCAAAAUGAAAAGAAGUUGAAUGCCAUACCCGUGAUGGCGUCAAGGUCCCA
Cucurbita maxima (winter squash) is the source of this 576-nucleotide long non-coding RNA. RefSeq lists it as uncharacterized. NCBI's taxonomy places the organism in Eukaryota, Viridiplantae, Streptophyta, Magnoliopsida, Cucurbitales, Cucurbitaceae. The transcript has 3 exons. The record is from RefSeq and is a predicted model, not a curated record.